Molecule: ribosomal RNA, 245 nt
Filed under: uncultured bacterium
Lineage: Bacteria
Description: partial 16S ribosomal RNA
Rfam family: Bacterial small subunit ribosomal RNA
Source: RNAcentral
UGGCGACCGGCGCACGGGUGCGUAACGCGUAUGCAACCUACCUUUAACAGGGGGGUAACGACUGAGAAAUUGGUACUAAUACCCCAUAAUAUCAUAGAAGGCAUCUUUUAUGGUUGAAAAUUCCGAUGGUUAGAGAUGGGCAUGCGUUGUAUUAGCUAGUUGGUGGGGUAACGGCUCACCAAGGCGACGAUACAUAGGGGGACUGAGAGGUUAACCCCCCACACUGGUACUGAGACACGGACCAG